This 253-nucleotide ribosomal RNA is filed under the name uncultured bacterium. RNAcentral's name for it is "partial 16S ribosomal RNA". It matches the Rfam family "Bacterial small subunit ribosomal RNA", at positions 524 to 776 of the family's 1533-position model. The record is from RNAcentral.
UACGUAGGGGGCAAGCGUUGUCCGGAAUCAUUGGGCGUAAAGCGCGUGUAGGCGGCUCGAUAAGUCUGCUGUGAAAGUCCAGGGCUCAACCCUGGGAUGCCGGUGGAUACUGUCGAGCUCGAGUCCGGAAGAGGCGAGUGGAAUUCCUGGUGUAGCGGUGAAAUGCGCAGAUAUCAGGAGGAACACCAAUGGCGAAGGCAGCUCGCUGGGACGUGACUGGCGCUGAGACGCGAAAGCGUGGGGAGCAAACAGG